This 373-nucleotide ribosomal RNA is filed under the name uncultured bacterium. RNAcentral's name for it is "bacterial SSU rRNA". It matches the Rfam family "Bacterial small subunit ribosomal RNA", at positions 521 to 896 of the family's 1533-position model. The record is from RNAcentral.
UAAUACGGAGGAUCCAAGCGUUAUCCGGAUUUAUUGGGUUUAAAGGGUGCGUAGGCGGGACAGUAAGUCAGUGGUGAAAUCCUAUCGCUUAACGAUAGAAUUGCCAUUGAUACUGCUGACCUUGAGUACAAAUGAUGUGGGCGGAAUGUGCAGUGUAGCGGUGAAAUGCUUAGAUAUUGCACAGAACACCGAUAGCGAAGGCAGCUCACAAAAAUGUAACUGACGCUGAGGCACGAAAGUAUGGGGAUCAAACAGGAUUAGAUACCCUGGUAGUCCAUACAGUAAACGUUGAUAACUCGAUGUGUGCGAUAUACAGUACGCGUCCAAGGGAAACCGAUAAGUUAUCCACCUGGGGAGUACGACCGCAAGGUUG